AGCAGUCGCCACGGUAAUACGAAGGGUGCAAGCGUUACUCGGAAUUACUGGGCGUAAAGCGUGCGUAGGUGGUGGUUUAAGUCCGCUGUGAAAGCCCUGGGCUCAACCUGGGAAUUGCAGUGGAUACUGGGUCACUAGAGUGUGGUAGAGGAUAGUGGAAUUUCCGGUGUAGCAGUGAAAUGCGUAGAGAUCGGAAGGAACAUCUGUGGCGAAGGCGACUAUCUGGGCCAACACUGACACUGAGGCACGAAAGCGUGGGGAGCAAACAGGAUUAGAUACCCCGGUAGUCCCUGUCUCUUAUAC
Molecule: ribosomal RNA, 303 nt
Filed under: uncultured bacterium
Lineage: Bacteria
Description: partial 16S ribosomal RNA
Rfam family: Bacterial small subunit ribosomal RNA
Source: RNAcentral